This 496-nucleotide ribosomal RNA is filed under the name uncultured bacterium. RNAcentral describes it as "partial 16S ribosomal RNA". It matches the Rfam family "Bacterial small subunit ribosomal RNA", at positions 29 to 507 of the family's 1533-position model. The record is from RNAcentral.
AUGAACGCUGGCGGCGUGCCUAAUACAUGCAAGUCGAGCGAACGGACGAGAAGCUUGCUUCUCUGAUGUUAGCGGCGGACGGGUGAGUAACACGUGGAUAACCUACCUAUAAGACUGGGAUAACUUCGGGAAACCGGAGCUAAUACCGGAUAAUAUUUUGAACCGCAUGGUUCAAAAGUAGAAGACGGUCUUGCUGUCACUUAUAGAUGGAUCCGCGCUGCAUUAGCUAGUUGGUAAGGUAACGGCUUACCAAGGCAACGAUGCAUAGCCGACCUGAGAGGGUGAUCGGCCACACUGGAACUGAGACACGGUCCAGACUCCUACGGGAGGCAGCAGUAGGGAAUCUUCCGCAAUGGGCGAAAGCCUGACGGAGCAACGCCGCGUGAGUGAUGAAGGUCUUCGGAUCGUAAAACUCUGUUAUUAGGGAAGAACAUAUGUGUAAGUAACUGUGCACAUCUUGACGGUACCUAAUCAGAAAGCCACGGCUAACUACGUG